CACGGAGGCCCCGAGCGUUGUUCGGAUUUACUGGGCGUAAAGCGUGUGUAGGCGGUGAAGUAAGUCAGAUGUGAAAUCCCGAGGCUCAACCUUGGAACUGCAUCCGAUACUGCUUUACUGGAGGUUUGGAGAGGAGUCUGGAAUUCACGGUGUAGCAGUGAAAUGCGUGGAUAUCGUGAGGAAGGCCAAAGGCGAAGGCAGGACUCUGGACAACACCUGACGCUGAGACACGAAGGCCAGGGUAGCGAAAAGG
Molecule: ribosomal RNA, 253 nt
Filed under: uncultured bacterium
Lineage: Bacteria
Description: partial 16S ribosomal RNA
Rfam family: Bacterial small subunit ribosomal RNA
Source: RNAcentral